ACAAGAUUUGAUGGAUGCAAUGUA
Molecule: non-coding RNA, 24 nt
Filed under: Arabidopsis thaliana (thale cress)
Lineage: Eukaryota; Viridiplantae; Streptophyta; Magnoliopsida; Brassicales; Brassicaceae
Source: RNAcentral